UAACCUGCAACAAAUCAAAAACAAAUGAAAUGAAAUCUUAUCUGCAACUCUGAAAAAGACUGUCAGAUAAUAAUCCUUGCUUCAAAACAGACAAGAACCGUUCUCACAAAUCUUUGGCAAUCUGAAAAGGACUGCUGCGUAACAAGACCCACAAACAAAAGGAAGUGACUACCAGCAAACCGUAAAUCCAGAGUCAUUCCUCUCCUUCAAAUUAGGGAUGAUGAAGUUCUCAAGGCAAGUGACCUCAAAAAAGAUUCUUCCGUACCAAUAAAUAAUUAAUUCUACAAUUAUUUGUAUUCCAGAAGAAAGAUACAGAAGAAAAUAAAGAUGCUGACUUGGACUCCUGCUGAAAUGCAGAUCAGGCAUGAAAGUAACAUAUUUCGUCAACAGUUAAGAAUGUUAACUUGGAGAAAUAUCAUCUACAUUGUUUCAUCUACUAAUUAUGCAUACAGAAAAUCAUCUGAUAUCAAGUAGAUAGUAGAUAGAUCUAUAAAAUACUGGUAUUUUAAGAGACAGAAAUGUUCUUACAUGUGAGCUCUAUGUACUGCAAAGUCUGAACAGUCUCCAACUGAGAGUCUUUUCUGUAUUCGCAGUCCAAAAGUAAAGUUUAGCCUUGCUCUAAAAUCCACAACCUG
This 635-nucleotide long non-coding RNA is filed under the name Coturnix japonica (Japanese quail). RNAcentral describes it as "lncRNA (ENSCJPG00005003323.1)". The record is from RNAcentral. Lineage: Eukaryota; Metazoa; Chordata; Aves; Galliformes; Phasianidae.